Molecule: unclassified non-coding RNA, 373 nt
Filed under: soil metagenome
Description: partial contains 5.8S ribosomal RNA, internal transcribed spacer 2, and large subunit ribosomal RNA
Rfam family: 5.8S ribosomal RNA (bases 1-120)
Source: RNAcentral
GAUGAAGAACGUAGCGAAAUGCGAUAAGUAAUGUGAAUUGCAGAAUUCAGUGAAUCAUCGAAUCUUUGAACGCACAUUGCGCCCGCCAGUAUUCUGGCGGGCAUGCCUGUUCGAGCGUCAUUACAACCCUCAAGCCCCCCGGCUUGGUGUUGGGGACCGGCCACCGGUGCCCUGCUGCUUCCGCGGCAGGCGCACCCGGCCGCCCCCGAAAUGAAUUGGCGGCCCCGUCGCGGCCUCCCUCUGCGUAGUAGCACACAUCUCGCAGCUGGAGCGCGGCGCGGCCACUGCCGUAAAACGCACCAACUUUUUUUACAGUUCACCUCGAAUCAGGUAGGAAUACCCGCUUAACUUAAGCAUAUCAAUAAGCGGAGGA